CUUCUGUUACCAGGAAGCCUGAGCUGGAUGGAGAUGACAGCAUCUUUUCUUCUCUUCCUUAAUGUACCUUUUCUGAUGCCUUUUUGUUACUCAUCUUCAUAUGGUCCCUCUGCCAGCUAGAAGCAGGCUUGGCUUGGAGCUUCUGCUUGUUGCAGUGGUCUAGGCAGCAAUUUUUGUUUUGUUUUGACUGUUGGUUUAGUUGGCUUCUGUGAGGCAGUCUGCCGCAAAGAGAAACUGGUUGUUUUAUUUUCUUUUGUAUCUUUGCCUGAGGAGUGCUGCUACAUCCUGAUAUCCAUUAAAGACCAUGUUCCUUCUCCUGCUAAUUUUGAACCUGGGAAUGAAGCCUCAUCAGACAGCAGACACAACAAAAAGAUCUGUUACCACAAUACGGACAGAAAUAAAUGGAACUAUUUGAACCUGUGGUCUCAGGAGCUGGGUGACCUGAUGGGACAUCCUCAAGAAGCUUCUGGACUCUGAACAAGAAUUCCUUGGCAUGCAGAGCUUGGUUGUUUGUCUUUUCAAAUGCCUUUGAAUGAGCCAGCACUUUAAUCUGGAGACUGCAACAAGACUACACAGCACCCGGCCAUGAUGUGCUUUAGAGGAAGUCAGGCAGCCCACCCCUUCACUGACCUGGGCCCUCACCUAUGCCUCUAAGUAAACACUAUUGCACUUUAGAAAAUGACCUUACUGGAUCUUAGACCCCAGUGAGUGUCCUGAGGCUCCUUCUUGCUGCCAGACUGAAAACAAUGUUAAUUUAUUGCCCUAAGUUUCCAAAAUGAUUUCCAGAAGCAGAGAUAAGUGGAUAUUUCCAGUUAUAGAAAUGGGCAGAUUGCCAAUAGGGUUAUUUUUGUCUAUAAAAUGUUUUCCAGUUUCCUCCGGCUACUGGAAAACCUGUUGAGACUUUAAGCUCAUAGGCAGGGCUUUAUACAAAAUCAAGUCAUAAUUGACAUAUUUUAUGGCUUACUGGAAUCUCAAAAGCUCCUGAGUUGUUCUAAUUAGCAGAAAGCAUUUCUGUACACAGAGUGACCAACUACAAACUGCCAGAAAAGCCAUUAUUUUUGUGAGGUCUAAAUCACAAAGCAUUUAUUUUAACUUGUAAUGGCAUCAUAUUGAAUGGUGUUUUUUUAAACUACAUCUUUCCUUCAAAACGUGUUUUUUUAACCUCAGAUACCAAUGAUAAACAUUAAAAUUUUUUGACAUGCUAA
This is a non-coding RNA of Manis javanica (Malayan pangolin), 1205 nucleotides long. The record is from RefSeq and is a predicted model, not a curated record. Lineage: Eukaryota; Metazoa; Chordata; Mammalia; Pholidota; Manidae.